AAUAGAUACCCUGGUAGUCCAUGCCGUAAACGUUGGGCACUAGGUGUGGGGCUCAUUCCACGAGUUCCGUGCCGCAGCAAACGCAUUAAGUGCCCCGCCUGGGGAGUACGGCCGCAAGGCUAAAACUCAAAGAAAUUGACGGGGGCCCGCACAAGCGGCGGAGCAUGCGGAUUAAUUCGAUGCAACGCGAAGAACCUUACCAAGGCUUGACAUACACCGGAAACUUCCAGAGAUGGUUGCCCCGCAAGGUCGGUGUACAGGUGGUGCAUGGUUGUCGUCAGCUCGUGUCGUGAGAUGUUGGGUUAAGUCCCGCAACGAGCGCAACCCUCGUCCUAUGUUGCCAGCGGGUCAUGCCGGGGACUCAUAGGAGACUGCUGGGGUCAACUCGGAGGAAGGUGGGGAUGACGUCAAAUCAUCAUGCCCCUUAUGUCUUGGGCUUCACGCAUGCUACAAUGGCCGGUACAAAGGGCUGCGAUACCGCGAGGUGGAGCGAAUCCCAAAAAGCCGGUCUCAGUUCGGAUUGGGGU
Molecule: ribosomal RNA, 527 nt
Filed under: uncultured bacterium
Lineage: Bacteria
Description: bacterial SSU rRNA
Rfam family: Bacterial small subunit ribosomal RNA
Source: RNAcentral